GACGAACGCUGGCGGCGUGCUUAACACAUGCAAGUCGAACGAAGCUUGAUUACGGAUUCUUCGGAUGAGUUAUGAUUUGACUGAUUGGCGGCCGGGUGAGUAACCCUUGAGUACCCUGCCCUUCGGAGGGGGAUAGCGUUUGGAAACGAACGUUAAUACCGCAUAAUGUAUUUUGACCGCAUGAUCGAAUUACCAAAGAUUUAUCGCUGAAGGAUGGACUCGCGUCUGAUUAGGUAGUUGGUGGGGUAACGGCCUACCAAGCCGACGAUCAGUAGCCGGACUGAGAGGUUGAUCGGCCACAUUGGGACUGAGACACGGCCCAGACUCCUACGGGAGGCAGCAGUGGGGAAUAUUGCACAAUGGGCGCAAGCCUGAUGCAGCAACGCCGCGUGAAGGAAGACGGUUUUCGGAUUGUAAACUUCUGUUCUUAGGGAAGAAUAAUGACGGUAGCUAAGGAGCAAGCCACGGCUAACUACGUG
RNAcentral lists this ribosomal RNA (479 nucleotides) under uncultured bacterium. RNAcentral's name for it is "partial 16S ribosomal RNA". It matches the Rfam family "Bacterial small subunit ribosomal RNA", at positions 28 to 507 of the family's 1533-position model. The record is from RNAcentral.